RNAcentral lists this ribosomal RNA (464 nucleotides) under uncultured bacterium. RNAcentral's name for it is "partial 16S ribosomal RNA". It matches the Rfam family "Bacterial small subunit ribosomal RNA", at positions 339 to 795 of the family's 1533-position model. The record is from RNAcentral.
CUACGGGUGGUAGCAGUGGGGAAUAUUGCACAAUGGGGGAAACCCUGAUGCAGCCAUGCCGCGUGUGUGAAGAAGGCCUUCGGGUUGUAAAGCACUUUCAGCGAGGAGGAAAGGUUGGUAGCUAAUAACUGCCAGCUGUGACGUUACUCGCAGAAGAAGCACCGGCUAACUCCGUGCCAGCAGCCGCGGUAAUACGGAGGGUGCAAGCGUUAAUCGGAAUUACUGGGCGUAAAGCGCACGCAGGCGGUUGGAUAAGUUAGAUGUGAAAGCCCCGGGCUCAACCUGGGAAUUGCAUUUAAAACUGUCCAGCUAGAGUCUUGUAGAGGGGGGUAGAAUUCCAGGUGUAGCGGUGAAAUGCGUAGAGAUCUGGAGGAAUACCGGUGGCGAAGGCGGCCCCCUGGACAAAGACUGACGCUCAGGUGCGAAAGCGUGGGGAGCAAACAGGAUUAGAUACCCUCGUAGUC